GCUCCCAUGGCGUAGUGGUCACUGCGCUCGCCUUGCACGCGGGAGACCCGGGUUCGAUUCCCGGCGGGGGAA
This 72-nucleotide transfer RNA is filed under the name Diaphorina citri (Asian citrus psyllid). It matches the Rfam family "tRNA". From Rfam's summary of the family: Transfer RNA (tRNA) molecules are approximately 80 nucleotides in length. Their secondary structure includes four short double-helical elements and three loops (D, anti-codon, and T loops). Lineage: Eukaryota; Metazoa; Arthropoda; Insecta; Hemiptera; Psyllidae. The record is from Rfam by way of RNAcentral.